AAGUCGUAACAAGGUUUCCGUAGGUGAACCUGCGGAAGGAUCAUUAGUGAAUAAACGUGUCGGUCUUCGCUUCGGCAAGGCCUUCACACCCUCACAUCCAUAACACCUGUGAACCGUAAGAUGUGGUGACUUGUCGCCCAUCUGCCCCUUUUAAAAACAUCUUUAGUAACAAAAGUAGUCUUAUUAUAAUCUAAUAAAA
RNAcentral lists this unclassified non-coding RNA (199 nucleotides) under plant metagenome. RNAcentral describes it as "partial contains small subunit ribosomal RNA and internal transcribed spacer 1". The stretch from base 1 to 46 matches the Rfam family "Eukaryotic small subunit ribosomal RNA", at positions 1786 to 1831 of the family's 1831-position model. The record is from RNAcentral.